This is an RNA transcript of Triticum dicoccoides, 2900 nucleotides long. It is a transcript of the gene named formin-like protein 14, with no coding region annotated. The transcript is spliced from 6 exons. The record is from RefSeq and is a predicted model, not a curated record. Lineage: Eukaryota; Viridiplantae; Streptophyta; Magnoliopsida; Poales; Poaceae.
CACGCAGUCCCCACCGUUCCAACCCUUCUCUCCCCCGCACCGGCACCCGCUCACCAAACCCUAGCCGUCGCCUUCCCCGUCCCCGCACCAUGGCUGUCGACGGCGAGGAGCCCGAAUCCCCAUGCCUCCCUGUCCUCAAGUGGGUCAUGUCCCCCGCCAUGGCCACAACGGGCCUUCCAGAUCCACGCCUCCUCGCGCCGCCGCCAUCUCCCCGAUCGACGCCACCACACUCUCAUCCUCAUGCGCCGAGCGCCGCCACCACCCUCUUGCCGCCGCCUCCCAACCCCCUUGCUGCCACCUCCUCCUUCCUCCAGCACCAUCUCUCCAACCCCAGCACCAUCUCUGACCCUGCCACCGGCCUCCGUUGCUUCCGCUGCGAGGACGCCGACGCCCUCCUCUUCGUCUCCCCAUCGAACCCCUCCUUCUCCACCUCCUUCCACCACCGGAGCCCCGCCUCCUCCUUCCUCCAGCUCCGUCGGAGCCCUGCCCCACCACGCCUCCUUCCUCCAACAUGGGUGGUUCGGGCCAGCGCGCCCCCAACUGCCGACGCACCCCGCGGCGAUGGCGGGAUCCAGCCGCCACUGCCCCCUGGUGAGGCCUCCUCCACCGGAUCCGGCCGCGACGGCCAUCAGUGCAGGCCCAAAACCCCCGGAUCUGGCAGCCACCGACCCCCUGACCGGCCUUCUUCCAGAGGCCCUGUGACGCGCCGCCCCACCCGCCCCGCAACCUCCUGCCCGCACCACCUGGUCCACGACGGUGCUCUAAGGGUCUGGAUUUCGACGGGGCGGCGGUCGUCCAUGCUACUGCCUCCAAUGGUCGAGCACACAGGCGUAUGGUUCCACCUCAGCGACUCCAUGGCCCUCCGGGAUGCUUUCCGGUUCCACGGGGCCAACCAAGCAUGGCACCUUCAAGUAGAUGCAGCUCUGCCUCCAAUGGCAGAGGGGCGCAGCUGCAGCACCGCACUUUCAGAUUAUGACUAGGCAGGCUAGUGGGUUGCAGCAGUAGUAUGCAGGGUUAAUACGGCUACAGUCUUCCACUAUGGAUCAAUAAGCUUGAUUGCCGAGCCUUGCCGGACAGCGCAUCUGCACGCCAUGAAGGUUGCCAAAGAGGUCGGCGCGCUUCUCUCGUAUGAACUGAACCUGAGGGAGGCAUUGUGGCCAUCCCUUGAGGAGGCUCGCACCAAGAUCUUGAGCAUCUGGGACCAGGCAGACAUUGUCAAGGUCAGCGAGGUCGAGCUCAAGGACACAACGGCAGUAGCAGCAACAAGGAAAGGAAUUCAAGGCCAUGGGAGCUGCUUCUAGUAUAGGACGUGCUGGACCUACUGCUGCUGCCAGUUGUGUUACCUGACCAAGUCCCCAAGCUGCAUCUUGCUGCUCCUGCCCCGGCCGUCCUCAAUUUGCUCCUGGACAGCUACCGCAGAGGAGGUAUGGCUCUCGCGCAAUGAUGCUGGAGACUGUUGCCGCAGUGCUGGGGGUGGAGACAGAUUGCAUUGGAAAUAUUCUGUUAUUCCUUACAUAAUGUUCUUGUUGCUGAUAAUAGGGCAUGUAGAUAGCAAGUUAUUUUCCUAUUGGUUACUUAUGCUUAUUGUGUAUCACAUUUAAAAAGAAAAUGCACAAUGAGCUUGUUUGAUCUUUUUUAUGCUUAUGUAUGCUUGAUCAGGGUAGUUCUUUUUUAAUUUGAUGACAAUGAACCAAUAUAAACAGUCAUCAGUAGCUAGUGUGCAUUGCCAAGUACAACAGUUCUACAUUGUAUGAAAUCAUCUAUAGAUAUUAUUUAUCGAUAUGGGUUAACUAAUCCUUAUUGAUCGAUCCUCUCUUUUAGUUAAUAAUGUAUGCAUGCCUUGUAUGUUCUGUGUUCUUUACUAUAUUGUUCUGUCCUCGGGCAAUUAAACAUUGUAUUUGUUUUUAUUGUGAUAUGCAACUCUUCAAAAAAAACUGUAUUAUGGAAUUACUCAUCUACAUGGAAUUUCUAUGUAUUCUGGUAGUUUAUUUUUGAUAUUGUAUUGCUGUAUUCCCAAUCUGUGUGGGAGCCGAAGCUCGAUUUGUUCCUAUUUCUGUUUCUGUUUUAGUACUAGUACAAUGUAAUGAUUUUGUGCUUUCAUGAAGUAUUUUGCGCUAUUUUUAUCUGUCGAGCAAUUUAGAAGACCUGUAGAGCAUUUAACUAGACAGUCGACUUUGCAUGUGCAACUAUGCUUGCUUAGAGCAGCCCUUGACUGGUUACAUUAUUGUGAUGGUCGGUGCUGUUCUUAGUUGUGCUACAGUAUGUGUUCCGUGUUGUUUGCACUUGUUAGCCAAAUCAUUGCACAUGCAGUGUUAAUGUGAUGUUGUAAAAUUCAUGUUUGUACAAUGUAUCUGCUACAUGUUGUUUUCAUCUUGAUAGCUAGCAACCUAGCACCAUGAACUUCGAUUGUAAAUUCUCUAUAUGCUGUAAAAUUAAUUGGGUCAGUGUCGAAUUUGUUGUGAAUUCUAAGAUGCUUCAAGUAAAUGUUUUUUUGCCUUCUCACGUGUAGGCGGUCAGGCAAGAAAGCAAGUAUAGGUUCAGUCUGUUGGAGGAGUAUGGCGAGCUGUUGAUUCGGGCUAACCAGGCGCACACUAUGGCAAUAUGUUUUCUGCCUGAAGUCCCCUGCACUAAUGUAUUCUGUUUUUACAAGGCGUCCUGACUAUGAGCAAGAGCAGGUGCAUGUGCCUGUUUGUAAUUCUAACGAAGGAGCUCCAUCCUGAAGAAUAUAGUGCUUGUAGAGCUCGUAAAUUAGUUACUCCACUUGUAGAGUUAUUUGUAGAGCAGGAGCACCAUUGUAUUGCGUGUUAUUUGUAGAGCAGGAGCUUCAUACAGAAUCUGGCUCUAUACUGAAUCUGGCUGUUCUUAUUUGAAGUAUUAUAUGUGUUUUUUGUCAGUGCCAA